UGCAGGGCCCUCUUUUUCUCUUCCUAAAGUUUCUCCCAAGAACACAGAGUCUCUCUCUCUCUCUGUUCUGAGACACCUAAAGCUGGGGCUGGUAUGAUGUAUGAUACAAGCACCCCUAUGACCACCACCACCACCACUUCAGGUACUGGGUCACACCUGAAGCAAGCACAGUGCUGGGUCUUGCCCAAGGCCUGCCUUAAUCACUCCUUGGCUAUAGCCUAUAUUCACUCAAGGCCCUGGGGCUCUACAAUUGGCAGGUAGAAAAGUCGGCUGGGCCUGUGUCCUUCUCUUCAGGGUGGCAAAGUCCCCCUGGCCACCAGUGGGUCCACAGAUGCCAUAGAGGAGUCAGGGACUAGAGUCAAAAAACUUAGAAAUCUACUUGGCAUUCUGUUGUACUGUGGCUGAGCUGGCACUCAAACCACAAGACACAAUCCUUCCCACUCUUUCCACUUUUUCCCCUUUCCAAAAGCUGAGGAGCCUUACCCCGUAGCCACCGCCACACCUGGCCAUGAGGAGUACUGCCAAAGUACCACCGAUGUUCCCUUAAGGACCAAAGGCUCUUAUAUCAGCUUGUGGUGAAUGCUGCCUGGCCUGGGACUCACCCGUCAGGGCAGUGGGCUCCCCUUUGGCCAAGGGCAGGUCUAGAAAUGCUGUCCAAGAGUCAAGUCCUAGAAUUGGGAACCCAAAAGCCCACUUGGUGCUCUACCCCACAGUGGUGGUGUUGGUACCUAAGAUGCAAAACAAAGUCCCCUUUACUCUUCCUUCUGUUUUUAUCAAGUGGAAGGAGUUUUGCCCCAUAGCCACCACAGCUGGUAAUGUGCAUAGUCUCACCUGAAGCCAACAAGUCUCAGAAGCUCACCAAGGUCCUCAACGUAGUACCCGGGUAUCACUGCUGGUUAUUCAGGACCCAAGGGCUCUUCAGUUAGCAGAUGAUGAAUGCUGCCAGGACUGGGUCCUUUCCUUCAAGGCAGUGGGUUUCCUUCUGGCUCAGGGUGUAUCUAGAAAUGUCAUCCCAGAGCUAGAGCCUGGAACAAGGGCCUCAUGACCUCAAGGUGCCCUGUCCUUCUGUGGCAGAGCUGAUAAGCAAGAUGCAAGACAAACUCCUCCCAACUCUUCCCUCUCCUCUUCUCAAGUGGAAGGAAGGGGUUUCUUUUGGAUCCACAAGCUGUGCAGUCUCAGGUUAGGGGAGAGGUGAUGCCAACAUUCCCUUAGCUGCCCCAGCUGGUAUCUCAGUAUGUCCCAUGCCACUUCAGUCCAUUGUCUUUGGGCCUAGUUCAGCACUAGGACUCACCUAUGAGGUGCAGUCCUUAUGGCCUAGACUACCUUUCCAAUUUACUUAGACAACAAGAGCACUGUGGCCUUUGGUACUGAGGUUUGCGGGCAGUCAGGUUUGGACUGCUGGUAUCAGUGAUUGCCCUCUGGCUAAGGCUGGUUGACAUGCCUUCUUUUGUGUGGACUUCAGCUUAGUUUGGUCAGGUUUUCCUUUUUGCUGCAACAAAAUGGCACUGAGUUCAGUGCCUCACAAUUGCUCUGUUCUCCCUUCACCAGCACCCAGAGGUGCUCUUGGCACCAAGCCACACUGCUGGGGUCAGGGAGGGGUGGCAUCGGAGACUCGGAACUGUUUUUCUGUCUUUUCAGUGUCUCUUUCAGUGAUACGAGGUUAAAACGAGGUACUGUGAGUGCUCACCUGAUUUUUAGCUCUUAGGAAGAUGCUUUUUCCUGUGUAGUUGUUUGUUAACUUAGUAUCCUUGUGGUAGGGGUAGGAGGAUGAUCUGUGGAGUUUUCUGUUCUGCCGUCUUGUCUCACCUCCCUCCUAAAAAAAUAUUCUUAAAUGAGAUUGUAAUGUUUAUAUGAACUUGCACGAAGACAGACGUCUUGUGCUUGGAUCCUGGGUCUCUUACCGGUUUUGUAACAUUCUUCAACAUACUUAUAACUCUGUGCCUAUGAUGCCUUCUCUGUAAAAUGAAGAUAAGAAUAGUGUCAUAAUGGAUGUAAAACCUUUAAAACAGGACUAAACGCCAUGUAAGGUUAGGUGGUGGUAUUGUUACUAUUUAUCUUAUUUAUAUCAUAUUCUGUGGUGACCUGUCCGUAUUUGCGAAUACCUUUCAGUGAUAGGAAAUUAAUUCUACUUCUUGAUCCUAAUUCUACUCCCUGUCUGUUCCUAAUCUUGUUUUCCUUUGCUUCCUCUUUUCUCAUCUACUCAUAUUUUAUGCCUUCCUUCAUGCUUUACAUAACUUGUAGCCACCUUCAGUGUUUUUUUGGAAUAAAGUAGUGUAUGCAUACAUACAUAUAAAUCUUUGUUCCUAGAAUUUAGCACUGUUAGUGCAUGGUCUUUAUCUUGGAUGUUCAUAUAUUCUAGUUCCCAGAACAGUAACUUCUAGACCUUAAUAAAUUAUUUAUUGAAUGAACAAAGGAAUUAAUUACUUUGAAUUUGUGAGGUGUUGUAUAUGAUUAUUAUUUUAUUCCUAAAUCUUAUCAUUCUUUAGACCAAAAGGAUAUCCAGUUUGACAGUGUUCUUUUUUAAGAAUGAUGCUUAUAACUGAAUAUAAUAGUUCUUAUGGGAUUCGAUCAACAGAGAGUAACAGAGUAUUAUUAUGUUAUUUUAUUCUGUGUGUAUUUGUCUAUUACUGUACUUAAAAUACCAAACGGGAGGGGCAGUAUGACUUUGGACUCAUUUGCCAUAAUAUUGAAGUCAAAUGUGUUGCUGUUAAAUCAGCUUUCUUUACCCAAUUCACAUUUGUGCU
This 2744-nucleotide long non-coding RNA is filed under the name Homo sapiens (human). Its description in RNAcentral is "HSALNT0207673". The record is from RNAcentral. Lineage: Eukaryota; Metazoa; Chordata; Mammalia; Primates; Hominidae.